CAAGUCGAGCGGCAGCACGAGUAGUUUACUACUUGGUGGCGAGCGGCGGACGGCUGAGUAACGCGUGGGAACGUGCCCCAAAGUGAGGAAUAAGCUCCAGAAAUGGAGUCUAAUGCCGCAUAUGAUCUUCGGAUUAAAGUAUUUAUACGCUUUGGGAGCGGCCCGCGUCCGAUUAGAUUGUUGGUGAGGUAAAGGCUCACCAAGUCGACGAUCGGUAACUGGUCUGAGAGGAUGAUCAGUCAGACUGGAACUGAGACACGGUCCAGACUCCUACGGGAGGCAGCAGUAAGGAAUCUUCCACAAUGGGGGCAACCCUGAUGGAGCAACUCCGCGUGCAGGAUGAAGGCCUUCGGGUCGUAAACUGCUUUUAUGAGUGAAGAAUAUGACGGUAACUCAUGAAUAAGGGUCGGCUAACUACGUGCCAGCAGCCGCGGUCAUACGUAGGACCCAAGCGUUAUCCGGAGUGACUGGGCGUAAAGAGUUGCGUAGGUGGUUAGUAAAGUGAAUAGUGAAACCUGGUGGCUCAACCAUACAGACUAUUAUUCAAACUCACUAACUCGAGAGUAGCAGAGGUAACUGGAAUUUCUUGUGUAGGAGUGAAAUCCGUAGAUAUAAGAAGGAACACCAAUGGCGUAGGCAGGUUACUGGGCUAUUUCUGACACUGAGGCACGAAAGCGUGGGGAGCGAACCGGAUUAGAUACCCGGGUAGUCCACGCCGUAAACGAUGGAUACUAGCUGUUGGAGGUAUCGACCCCUUCAGUAGCGAAGCUAACGCGUUAAGUAUCCCGCCUGUGGAGUACGGUCGCAAGACUAAAACAU
Molecule: ribosomal RNA, 819 nt
Filed under: uncultured Bacillota bacterium
Lineage: Bacteria; Bacillati; Bacillota
Description: bacterial SSU rRNA
Rfam family: Bacterial small subunit ribosomal RNA
Source: RNAcentral